CAUGUCUCAAGAGCUGCAGCCCCAGCAGCCUCCCCAUUGGGGACCAUGGAGCUGGGCUUGAGAAGGGUUCAGCAGCAGCACUUUACCUCUCAAAGGAGUAGGACUCCAGCAAAGUGAGCUUCGUGAAGGUGGUGCCAACUGCCAGCAAUGGUUCCACUGAGCUUGUGGCCCUGCACGUCAAUGAGGUAGGGACUGCCUGCCAGACCACCCUGGCAUGGGCUUGAGUGGGAUUCCCAGGAACUGAACCCCCAGGCCAGGGGCCUCUGCCACAGCCUUCUCCCACAGGGCGAAGAUGGACAGGAGAUCUCCAUGCCAUGGAGAAGAAGCAAUCCCUCCACAAGGCCUUUCCCUUGGGAAACGUGUUCUCAUACUACCAGAGCAACAGAGAAGUUCAGGAAAACUCAGAGGUCUGCGAAGCUGAGUAGUUUGAGAGCAACAAGGUUAUUUGGCAUUUUCUAGACUUAUUUCACCCAGAUACUAGAAAUAAGCAGCUACUGAGACCUGGUGUACAAGAAAUAAGAUCUAAUCUACAAAAUAAAUUUGCAUUCUGCAGCCUGACCCUCAGCACUAAAAGCCUUGUAAAGGGGCAAGAUAACUGGGUCACACUAGGGACAAAAUCAGUCAUUCUGAGAUGCUGAGAAGAAAUCAGAAGGCAUACUUACAGGUGAUUCCAAGUAGACACAACUAUCCACCCUCUCCUAAAAGACCUUGUAUCCAGAGAUAAGCUGCCAUCAACAGCACUAUGGAGGGAAAGAAUAAGUGACAUUAAUGAAAUGACAAGGAUGGCUGUAAAGGGGGCAAGACAUUUUGUGAAAAGCCAGAAAUACUCUCCUAAAGAAGAAAAAUAACCAUAUUGAUCUGGAGAUUUCCGAACUGGGCAGUGAUAAUGAUUGAGUUAGCAAUAGCAAUGAUUCUUUGGAAAAGCUGAGUAGGAACACUUGAAAUUCCAACAGACCUAAGUUUGAAUACCAUUCUGUCAUUCAUCAGCUGGGUUACCUUGAACAAAUUACUUAACUUUUCGGAUCCUCUGUUUCCUUACCUUAAAGCAAGGUUUUUUUAAAAAAUCGAUUUCAUACUGUUAUUGUGAACAUGACAUGAGAUCAUAAAUUAUCUGAGUGCCUGGAACUCAUGGCUGCUCAUGGAGCCCUAGGUACAGAUGCAGUAGUAGCUGAGGGAGAGGGGGUAUGACAUGGAGCUAUGACACAGCUUAUGAACAUUGAGCUGCAUGCAGUGACUGUAAACAUCCACCUACUUUGCCAGCUGCUUGGAUAUGUUGGUUGAUGUGCCCUGGCACACUGCUGUGCAUCAUCUGGAGAAUUACUAAGGCUCAGGUGAAUUCUUGAAUUUCAUGCUGUGCUCUCUACACACAUGUUCUAUGGCAUCACUGUCGAUGCUCUGUAUUUCUGGACUUCUUGUGUCUUUGGCUUAAUGGGCUUCAGUGCAGGGAUGCAAGCAGCAGUUUGUAUCACCAGACUCAGACCUCAUUGAUAUUUGGUAUUGACUCACUGACUUGCUUCAUUUGGACAUCAAGGCGCCUGCUUACUUGCAGCUCUGCUGCCACAAUUAUCAUUCAACUUCCCUGCUUAGGCUUUUGCCACCAUCAGUCCUCCUCUUAACUGUUUUCUGUUUCUUCCUAGGACAUUAAUAUACUAUCUCUGCUUGUUUCAGUUUUUACACACAAAAAAGAUCUUCCAUUUACUUGACUAUUUCUUCUUCCUGGAAUGUCAACUCUUCCAUUUUAGUUGUGGUUUAAAACCCUAGCCAACCUUCACAUCUUAGCUCAGAUGCUGUCUCCACCAUGAAGUCUUCUGCCGCCCCAGACAGAGAUCUCUUCCUCUGAAAUUCUAUUGUGGUUUGCCUGGACUCCUGAUACAUCACACAAUCAGCUGAUGGGCGUCACAGUAAUUAAGUCAUAUGUCUCCUGUAUCCUUCUAAAUAUAAGUUCCUAAAGAGCAAGGAUUGUUGUCUGCAAGCACAGAACUUUGCAUACCGUUAAAAGUUUAAAUUUUUCACUUGGAAAGUCAUGAGAUAUACAAACUGAUGUGAGGCAGAAAUGAGGAAGCAGACAGAACUGUAAUGAGGAAGAUAAAAGCAGACUGAUAGAGGUAUCUUAUAGGAACUUAAGCUGCAUUAGGGUGCUUGUGUGGGUGACAAGAGGACUGCGUCAUUGCCUAAGUGUAACACAUGCACCUGGUACUUCCUUGACAGGAUGACAAUAAGGGAACCUAUUCUCAGUAAUAACAGGGUGUUCAGCUGAAGUCAGCUGAGGAUUUGGAGCAAGCUGUUUUGGUACAGCCUGUGUUGAGUGGCUUAAAAAUUAGAGUGAAGAAUUGCUUAAGAGACAAUGUUCUUAGGAAAGCUUAUAGGACAGAGUGUCAGGCUGGCUGUUGAAAGACUUCUGAUAACUUUCUGUCAUUUGAAGAGCUGUUGGUGGUUUGGAAAUAAAUCAUGUUAAAGUAAUCAGCUUUUGACUGUCCUGAGUCCUCAAGGAGAAGCGACAUGAAGCCUUGAUAAACCUUAAUAGUCAUGACUAUGAUAGAUGCCAUGAUUUUUCAGGCUACCAGAUUUAUCAGGUAGCUGAUAUGAAAACUAGUUCAAACCCACCCUCAAUGGCCACAAACCAUGCAGUUUAUUUCAGCCAGGACUAGACUUCCAUAAUAAGCCAGUACAUAUGGUAUGUGGCAAAGAGUGGAUGCCUGAUUACCAAAGCUAAGGAGGGUGUUAUAAAAGCAAAAAAGAGUUCAAAUAGGCUUUUUUUGGAAAUAUUUGGAGGAUGAAGCGUUUGGCAUAAGGAUGAGCAGGCUGAAAGGUGGCCAGGAAUCAUUUCAUUCAUUAUUCUUUUCCUAAAUGGGAAGAUCCUGUAUCUUGAGAUUAAUACACAUGAGAAUAGAAGCCUAGCUUUGGACUUGUGAUAUAAGUCAGAGCAAUU
Kogia breviceps (pygmy sperm whale) is the source of this 2929-nucleotide non-coding RNA. The record is from RefSeq and is a predicted model, not a curated record. NCBI's taxonomy places the organism in Eukaryota, Metazoa, Chordata, Mammalia, Artiodactyla, Physeteridae.